GGUUAAAUGAAAUAAUAUGGUGGUUUUCUCUGCCAUGUCCCCGCAGCCCGCUCUGGCCGACACGGCCUUAGUGGAGCUUGUGAACAAAAAACGGCGCUGCUUUAGUGCCAAGGAAUACUUGUGAGCAGGGGCGUUGCAUUGCGGCUAUAGGCUUGGAUGAUUUGACGCCUUUGUUGGUAAAAACAUGAAAAGACUCUUGGCAAUGGAUAUCUUGGUUCUUGCAUCGAUGAAGAACGUAGCGAAGUGCGAUAUGUGGUGUGAAUUGCAGGAUCCCGUGAACCAUCGAAUUUUUGAACGCAAGUUGCGCCCAAAGCCACUUUGGCUAAGGGCACGCCUGCCUGGGCGUCAGUUGCCCCCAUCUCUCUGUGCAGUGUCCUAACACUGUCAGAUGUGGUUUUUGGUUCUUUGAGUCCCAGAGCUCGGAGGGUUGAAGUGUUUGGCUUGCCAACGGAAUGGGGCUGGUAGUGGCGAGUGGUGGAUUGAUCUCACAGACAAGCCUUAUGUCGCCCAGUAACCAUCCCAUUGUGUGUUUGGCCUUUGACGGAACCCCCUAGUU
This 556-nucleotide ribosomal RNA is filed under the name Luzula elegans. RNAcentral describes it as "eukaryotic LSU rRNA". The stretch from base 192 to 348 matches the Rfam family "5.8S ribosomal RNA". Lineage: Eukaryota; Viridiplantae; Streptophyta; Magnoliopsida; Poales; Juncaceae. The record is from RNAcentral.